GCUUCCAUGGCUCAGUUGGUUAGAGCGCCGGUCUCAUAUCUAGUAUGAAUGACACUGUCAUAUAAUCCGGAGAUCACCAGUUCGACCCUGGUUGGGAGCA
Molecule: transfer RNA, 100 nt
Filed under: Agaricus bisporus var. burnettii JB137-S8
Lineage: Eukaryota; Fungi; Basidiomycota; Agaricomycetes; Agaricales; Agaricaceae
Rfam family: tRNA
About the family: Transfer RNA (tRNA) molecules are approximately 80 nucleotides in length. Their secondary structure includes four short double-helical elements and three loops (D, anti-codon, and T loops). Further hydrogen bonds mediate the characteristic L-shaped molecular structure. tRNAs have two regions of fundamental functional importance: the anti-codon, which is responsible for specific mRNA codon recognition, and the 3' end, to which the tRNAs corresponding amino acid is attached (by aminoacyl-tRNA synthetases). tRNAs cope with the degeneracy of the genetic code in two manners: having more than one tRNA (with a specific anti-codon) for a particular amino acid; and 'wobble' base-pairing, i.e. permitting non-standard base-pairing at the 3rd anti-codon position.
Source: Rfam by way of RNAcentral